This is an RNA transcript of Pogoniulus pusillus (Red-fronted tinkerbird), 2062 nucleotides long. It is a transcript of the gene named autophagy related 10, with no coding region annotated. The transcript has 9 exons. The record is from RefSeq and is a predicted model, not a curated record. NCBI's taxonomy places the organism in Eukaryota, Metazoa, Chordata, Aves, Piciformes, Lybiidae.
CCGCGUAUUGCCCCACAGAUGACGCCACGCAGCGAGCAGACAGCCCGCAGCGUUGCGGGCUGCCCCAGCCGCCCCCACGGCCACGCAUGCGCAGCCGCCUCUUGUGGGCCGCCGCGGGCAGCGCAUGCGUAGCGGCCGGGGCGGGUGCGGGACUGCGAGCAGGCGGGCGGAGGCGGCACGAUCAUAGAGUCAACCAGAUUGGAAGAGACCUCCAAGAUCAUCCAGACCAUGUCCUGUAGCAUGGCAGAUGAAGAAGAUUUCUUUAUGGAAGAAAAAAGAUUCAGGCAGCACUGUGAAGAAUUUAUUAAACAUUCUCAGCUAAUAGGAGAUGGUUGGGAGUGGAGAACUAGCAAGGAGCUUGGUGAUGGUUACCUUAGUAAAACACACUUCCAAGUCAGAAAUAGAAACAUCCCACCAGAUCUCAAGGAGAAAGACAAUGAUAAUGUUGAACAAACCUUGUUUUCACACAUUGAAGAGUCUUUGGAAGAUUCUCAGGGACCUGGAGUCUGUGCAACAGAAGAAGUGAUUCGCUAUGAGUAUCAUGUUCUGUACUCCAGCAGCUAUCAAGUACCUGUGCUUUAUUUUAGGGCAUGCUGUUUAGAUGGAAGACCUUUAACUCUGGAUGAAAUAUGGAAGAGUGUUCAUGCAUGCUACCAGGCUCGUCUGCUGGAGGGGCCAUGGGACACUAUUACACAGCAGGAGCACCCCUUACUUGGACAGCCAUUUUUUGUUCUGCACCCCUGCCGGACUAAAGAAUUCAUGUCUUCUAUACUGACCAAUUCACAGAAAGACAAGAGACACAGAAAUUACAUUAUAUUGUGGCUCAGUACUGUAGGCCCAGUUGUGGGUCUGAAUCUACCUCUAAGUUAUGCAAAAGUAACAAAUGGUGAUUGAGUUGAAAGCUCAGACCUCUGAGAUGAAGGACAGAUGAUGGUUAGCUGUAAUAAAGCUGCUGCAGACUUUCCUAGGAAUUAAAUCAAACAAUGGAAUUCUACCCAACUGGAAAAGCAAAUGAAAAUAAGAGAACCAAUAGGACUGAAUUUUCUGGAAGAACAAACCCAAAGCUGUCGAGGUCCAGAGGCUGGCGAGAGGUGAGAUCGGGGCACUGAAGAGUUGACUCAGCAGCUUGCUAUGCAUUAGUACAAUUUUAUUAGGGUAGUGCAGUGUCUUAUAUAGUGCUCAGAGGAGGUGUAUCCAGCCAGCCUGGGGCUGGCACAAGUGGACAGUACAGAUUGGCCCAAAGCCACGUGCAAGGCGCAGGUAGGUUUACCCUGUGCCAAACAACCUGUGGUUCCCACCCCAGGGGGCUGGCAGGCUCAGCCCCCUGGAGCUGUGUCCGCCCCAGGGGCCGGCAGGUCCAACCCUCUGCAGGUGUGCGUGGGUUGCUCACAGUCCAUAGCCUAGCUUCCUUGGAGCCUGCGAGACUCCAAGGACAUCUCCCAUCACAAGGUCUCAAGUUGCUGAUUUCUUUAGCUGAAAUAAUCUGUCUCCUGUAGAAGUGGAACUGGAAUCCUAGCACCAGCACUUAUGUAGAAAAACAUUUGCAUACAUAAAAUCUGAUUUCUGGAUUGAAGUAGCUGAUUGGGAUCAGUCACUGGGAACUGCUGUCAGACCUGUGAGUUACAGUCCAAUAUCCAGUAGCUUCCAAUAUUACUGUAAUCAAGGAUCACCUGAAAAAAAAGUUGGAUAUCUUCUAGCUGUUUUCUAUGUAUUUUUUCAUAUGAUUUCUACGACAUGUACCUGCAGUUGAUUUGUUAUGUAUUAUUAGUAAAUAGAGCUGUGGCAGCCAGUGCUGUCAAACCUGGCUGUGUACUCAUAUUGUUCUGCUGCUAAAUGAAGGCUGGAUUUCAGAGACUUCAUAGAAGAAUACAGAACUGUAGAGUCAAAUAAUUGUUUUGGAUAGAAAAGACAUUUUCAGAUCAUUGAGUCCAGCUAUUAUCUAAGCUGUGAAGUCUGUGGCUAAAUGAUGUCCCUCAGCACCACAUCCCACAUGUAGGGGUGGGGAUUCAGCCACCUCCAUGAGGAGCCUGCUCCAGUGUUCAAGAACCCUUUCAGAAAAGAA